This is an RNA transcript of Chroicocephalus ridibundus (black-headed gull), 4020 nucleotides long. It is a transcript of the gene named casein kinase 1 delta, with no coding region annotated. The record is from RefSeq and is a predicted model, not a curated record. Lineage: Eukaryota; Metazoa; Chordata; Aves; Charadriiformes; Laridae. The transcript has 11 exons.
CCGUUGCUAGGGAAGUGAGGUCACGCAGUAUGGCGGCCGGCAGCCGGAGAGGCUGAGCGGCCGGUCCUGCGGGGAAUCCGCGUCCAUCCUUCCCGGGAGCUACGGCGACGGUGCUGCCUGUCUCACUAGUAUCGAGCGCGAUCAAAGCCGCGAUGGCAUCGGGAACCGCAGGGCUGUGAGGCGGCAGAGCGCGAGCCGGCGGGGCGGGUCGCGGACGAGCCGAGUUGCCGCCAUGGAGCUGAGGGUUGGGAACCGGUACCGGCUGGGCCGGAAGAUUGGGAGCGGCUCCUUCGGGGACAUCUACCUGGGAACUGAUAUUGCUGCCGGGGAGGAGGUUGCAAUUAAGUUGGAAUGUGUGAAAACCAAACAUCCUCAGCUCCACAUCGAGAGUAAAAUCUACAAAAUGAUGCAGGGUGGAGUGGGUAUUCCCACAAUUAAGUGGUGUGGAGCGGAAGGGGACUACAAUGUAAUGGUGAUGGAGCUGUUGGGACCAAGUCUUGAAGAUCUCUUCAAUUUUUGUUCAAGGAAAUUUAGUCUCAAGACAGUCCUAUUGCUUGCUGACCAAAUGAUUAGUCGGAUUGAAUAUAUUCACUCUAAGAACUUCAUUCACCGAGAUGUGAAGCCAGAUAACUUCUUAAUGGGCCUGGGGAAGAAAGGCAAUCUUGUCUACAUAAUAGACUUUGGAUUGGCAAAGAAGUAUCGAGAUGCUCGAACUCACCAACAUAUUCCAUAUCGUGAAAAUAAAAACUUAACAGGAACUGCCCGUUAUGCAUCCAUCAACACUCAUCUUGGAAUUGAGCAAUCUCGCAGAGAUGACUUGGAGUCCUUGGGCUAUGUACUGAUGUAUUUUAACCUGGGCUCCCUCCCCUGGCAGGGACUGAAAGCAGCAACAAAGAGGCAGAAAUACGAACGUAUCAGUGAAAAGAAAAUGUCUACACCCAUUGAGGUUUUGUGUAAAGGAUAUCCUUCUGAAUUUGCCACGUACUUGAAUUUCUGCCGUUCUUUGCGUUUUGAUGACAAACCGGACUAUUCCUAUCUAAGGCAAUUAUUCAGAAACCUCUUCCACCGACAAGGGUUCUCGUAUGACUAUGUGUUUGACUGGAACAUGCUGAAAUUUGGUGCAAGCAGGGCGGCUGAAGAUGCUGAACGUGAAAGACGAGAACGAGAGGAAAGAUUGAGACAUACACGAAAUCCAGCUGUGCGUGGAUUACCCUCCACUGCUUCUGGCAGGCUGAGAGGAACGCAAGAUGUAGCUCCUCCUACUCCUCUUACCCCAACUUCACAUGCUGCCAACACCUCUCCUCGGCCAGUAUCUGGUAUGGAACGAGAAAGGAAAGUGAGUAUGAGAUUGCAUCGCGGUGCCCCAGUCAAUAUCUCGUCGUCUGACUUAACAGGCCGACAAGAUACCUCUCGCAUGUCAACUUCACAGAAUAGCAUUCCUUUCGAACACCAUGGCAAGUAGCUGCUCGUCUCCUUUCGUUGGAAGGCAGCACUGGGGAUGUUCAUGCGGCAGUGUGUCAUCCAUUCAAAACCAGAUCGGCUUCAGAAUUGUAAAAUCAAAAUACUUGUAUGAAGACUCAAUUGACUGUAUUACUCGAAUAAGGCUCUGUCUUGUCGUGAAUGGAACGUUCUGCUACAGCUGUAUCCAUUUCUCCCUGGUUUAUAUUCUUAUCCAUUCCUUAUGAGCUGUCAUUUUAAAAAUAGUCAGAUCUAUUCAGAUCUAUAUUUUAAAAAUGUUCACACACUAAUGAGAAUAGUUUGAACACGAGCAUCUCGGAGGUAGGCAGACUUGGAUCUGGGUAUUUAGAACUCCUUUCCACUUUUCAGUGCAGUAGAAGUUUCUGCCUUUCUGUGUGCAGCUUUUGGCUUUUUAGUCUGUUCUGCUUUUGGCAUUAACGGGUUUCAUCAGGGAAAUAACAAGUUUCAGUUGGAAUCUGAACCUUGAUGGCUGAAGGAUGCUUUCUUAAGUAUUUCAGGAGCUUCUUUGCUUUGCUUCUUAUUAAAAAAAGGCUGUGAGAUUUUUCUGUUCCUUAAGAAAUUCUGUUGUAUAACUGUCUGCUGCCUCACGUUCUCUAUAAAGCCUAAGCUUGCACUAAUCCCGUAUCUCUAGUUGGUGAAGAAUCCUGCUGUUCCUCUUCUGUUUUCUCCUCCUGCUUUGUGUGCUUGGCUGACUGUGCACAAGCUGCUUCGUAGUUUGUAACAUUAAAAAGAUCCAACUGUAAAUGGCAGCUUAACACUUUUAAAUUACAAUUAUCAGACCUUGGUCAAAAAUAAAUAAAAAAUUAAAAAAAAAGGGGGGGGGGGGCAAACGUAGAGCUUUGCGUUGGAAAGAAAGCUUGUGUGCGGGAGACGUGCAGAUUCUGGUCUGCUUAGGGUUACGUCUGCAUUGGUUGGCCUUUACUGUAUGCCUUACUAUUUGUAGCUGUUUACAACUGAAAUUAAUACUGAAUACCGAUUCAGCUACUUCGACGUUUCUCGCUUCUUAAAUUGCAGUGACGUAUGGUGGUCGUUUUUCACUUUCACAGUGAAAGUGUUACUGAAAUAGUGUUACACUGUUAUUGAAAUAGGUCAAGCUAUGGAAAUAAAUGAAGUGUCUUUUAACACAAUGUCCCAUGAAAAAUUAAAAGCCAUUGAAAAUAAUUAAAUUUUGUUACCCUCUUAUUGGAAUUUUUUUUUUCCAACUUAAUUAUUCAUUGAGUCUGUUUCUACACAUUGGUGGUGUUUUCAUCUGGUUUGUUCUUUCUUCUGUGCAUGUUUAUGCUCUGUUUACUUUUCUUCAAAACAUCCCCUCUGGCUGGAAAGGUGAAUUUUCCAUGUUAACUUCUAAUAAAGAAGGAAAAUACAGGGAACUUCGUGUAGCUACAGAUUCCUGCUCGGGUAACUACCAGUGUUCUCCAGUCUGCUGUGCACCGAUGAAAAUUAUUUUGCCAUGGAGGGCAGAUAAUGCAUGGCUGAUCUCCUAUGUUACCAAUGGCUUUACUAGCAAAAAUACCUUGAACUAGAGCGGAAACAUUACAGUUGGAGUUCUCCAUGUGACUUAAAAGGUACUUGGAGGAACAUGGACAGACUCCAGCAGCUGCCAUUACAGGAUGCUUUUGCCAGAAACCCAAUGACCUUAAGAGAACCCUGUGGUAACAGGGCUGGAAAAGAAAGAUGGUUUACAGAGUUGACCGCCUGUUAUCGGACGGCCGUUUCAGUUUUCCCUCCACAGGCGGCAGACUUUACCCCCUUUUUAUUAUUCUACUGUAACUAUAAAUCUUUUACUUGGUUUAAGAAAGUUUUUUGUAUCAUUUUGCUAAAAUUAUUGGCUUAAUUCUCUGUAAAGAACUCUUGCUUUUGUCUGAUUUAAAAAUGUAGAAUAUAAAGAAACCUAAACUAAAGACAAUGACUUGAAAUUUCUUGUUUAAAAAAAUUAGUCUGGCAGGGAACAUGUAAAUGAAUCAAAACCAUCUGACUUUAUUUAAACUGUUUACUUAUUUGUAUGGUCCCAUUCUGACUGAGACGGUUUUCUCAUGAAAUUUUAAAAACUGUUAGAAUUUUACUUUGCUGUUUGCUGUCUUCGUUCACACUUAACAUUUAACUUUCCGUGUACCACAAAGGAAUUUUUAAUAAUUGUUCUUUUUCAUAAAAGAGGAAAACUAAAUACCCUGCUGGAGAGUGUAAGUAUAGUAGAGAUGGUGAUAAUGGAUUUCUUUUUUUGUAAAGAAAAUGAAGGACAAAGUGAAAGACUCUGGCAUUUGAGGGAUUUAGAAUUUGAAAGUUUGUCCUAUCUCUCUGCUUAGUUUGGGUGAAUGGAUAGUUUCAAACGUCACUUUUAUUUUGUUUCCUGCACUCUGAGGCUGGUUAGCUUAGAGGGUAUUGCAAGUGGAAAAUACGUGUUGCUACUGAGUCUUUGGUGAAUUUGCACGUUUCAUUCAGCAUCUACAUGUUUAAAAAUAAAUAAAUAAAUUGAUUCAGGCCUUCUGUUUCAUGCCGAGACUCAAAAAAGGAAUUCUUUAAAAAAAAAAAAAAAAAACCAAA